AACGAACGCUGGCGGCAUGCCUAACACAUGCAAGUCGAACGAGAUCUUCGGGUCUAGUGGCGCACGGGUGCGUAACGCGUGGGAAUCUGCCCUUUGGUUCGGAAUAACAGUUGGAAACGACUGCUAAUACCGGAUGAUGACGAAAGUCCAAAGAUUUAUCGCCAGAGGAUGAGCCCGCGUAGGAUUAGCUAGUUGGUGUGGUAAAGGCGCACCAAGGCGACGAUCCUUAGCUGGUCUGAGAGGAUGAUCAGCCACACUGGGACUGAGACACGGCCCAGACUCCUACGGGAGGCAGCAGUGGGGAAUAUUGGACAAUGGGCGAAAGCCUGAACCAGCAAUGCCGCGUGGGUGAUGAAGGCCUUAGGGUCGUAAAGCUCUUUUACCCGGGAUGAUAAUGACAGUACCGGGAGAAUAAGCUCCGGCUAACUCCGUGCCAGCCGCCGCAGUAA
RNAcentral lists this ribosomal RNA (449 nucleotides) under uncultured bacterium. Its description in RNAcentral is "partial 16S ribosomal RNA". It matches the Rfam family "Bacterial small subunit ribosomal RNA", at positions 29 to 523 of the family's 1533-position model. The record is from RNAcentral.